CAGGGACAGCACCCAGGCCCUGAGUUCAAGGCCCAUGACAGGGACAGAGCACAGAGUUCCUGAACAAUAAGCAAACAAGUAAUCUUAGACACAGUGGCCCACAUAUAUAAUUCUAGCACUUGGGAGGCUGAGGCAGGAGGAUCAGGAGUUCCAGGUGGGCCUGGGCUAUUCAAUGAGACCCUACCUCAAAAAUAAAAGAAA
This is a long non-coding RNA of Perognathus longimembris pacificus (Pacific pocket mouse), 201 nucleotides long. RefSeq lists it as uncharacterized. Lineage: Eukaryota; Metazoa; Chordata; Mammalia; Rodentia; Heteromyidae. The record is from RefSeq and is a predicted model, not a curated record. The transcript is spliced from 3 exons.